AGAUGCAAUCAAGUCAGAGCUCGACUGGAGAGGAUGGUGCAGAAUCAUCACAACAGUAGCCUCAGCCAUCCAUGAUGCAUGUAUGAAAAGAAAUAGUUAAAGUGAACAAGGGGCAGAUUUAUGAACUGUGAUCACAGGCUAGCUUGUUGACAGGCUAGCUUGUUGACAGGCUCCUCAUCUUCUGGCCGCACAUCCUCAUGAGUCAUUGAGGAGUGGAUUCAGGAGCAAGAGAAGAUUUAUAAUAUGUUUGAAACCGUAUAUGCUCGAAAUGAGAAGUUAGCUACUCAUAACAAUCAAUUAGCAAUCCAGAAUAGUGAAUUAGUCAUCCAAAAUAGUGACUUAGCUACUCGUGUUUCUCGUACGGAGGAAUUCAUGCGCCUUAUGAUGGAGAAGAUGUAGAUGUUUCCAGCACCACCUCCAACUGCUACUUCUGCAAAUGAUGAUAAUUGUGAUGACGACGAUGAUGAUGAUCAGGAGAAGGAUGAUCAUUUAUGAUUUUUUUUUAUUAUGAUUGGAAUGAUGAUACUUGUG
RNAcentral lists this long non-coding RNA (531 nucleotides) under Elaeis guineensis (African oil palm). RNAcentral describes it as "long non-coding RNA (EGUI_LNC020586)". The record is from RNAcentral. Lineage: Eukaryota; Viridiplantae; Streptophyta; Magnoliopsida; Arecales; Arecaceae.